RNAcentral lists this ribosomal RNA (410 nucleotides) under uncultured bacterium. RNAcentral's name for it is "bacterial SSU rRNA". It matches the Rfam family "Bacterial small subunit ribosomal RNA", at positions 354 to 776 of the family's 1533-position model. The record is from RNAcentral.
GUGGGGAAUAUUGCACAAUGGGCGGAAGCCUGAUGCAGCAACGCCGCGUGCGGGAUGACGGCCUUCGGGUUGUAAACCGCUUUCAGCAGGGACGAAGCGCAAGUGACGGUACCUGCAGAAGAAGCACCGGCUAACUACGUGCCAGCAGCCGCGGUGAUACGUAGGGUGCGAGCGUUGUCCGGAUUUAUUGGGCGUAAAGAGCUUGUAGGCGGUUGGUUGCGUCGAAAGUGCAAACUCAGGGCUUAACUCUGAGCCUGCUUUCGAUACGGGCUGACUGGAGGAAGGUAGGGGAGAAUGGAAUUCCCAGUGGAGCGGUGGAAUGCGCAGAUAUCGGGAGGAACACCAGUGGCGAAGGCGGUUCUCUGGACCUUUCCUGACGCUGAGAAGCGAAAGCGUGGGGAGCAAACAGG